Molecule: long non-coding RNA, 469 nt
Filed under: Solanum tuberosum (potato)
Lineage: Eukaryota; Viridiplantae; Streptophyta; Magnoliopsida; Solanales; Solanaceae
Description: long non-coding RNA (STUB_LNC004144)
Source: RNAcentral
GAGAAACAACCUAAUAUUUGUCUAUCGUCAACAAUAUACAUCAUAAUGAAUAUAACAUUCAAACUUUAUUCGAAUGACUUCGAUGAGAAGUGACAUCGGGGUACCUGUAAAAACACUUAGUAAAAGUAUUAGUACUAAAUAAAUACGACUAAAAGUAAAUGAAUUAAACAAUAACUUGAAAAUAAAUAUUCGUCUUAUUAAAAUGAGAGGCCUUAGAAAUCGACGGUAAUUUCUUCAUCGGCCAAUUUUAACAGACAGUACAUAUAAACUUAAACUAAAUUUUCAUCUUUUACAAUGUGAAAGCUUCCAAAAUCGAUGGAGAGAUUUUCUCAUUGGCCCUUUUUUACAAAUAAAAUAUAUACACUUAAAUUAAAAUUCCGUCUUUUAAAAUGAAAAGGCCUCUAAAAUCGACGGAGAGUAUUUUUCAUUGGCCAUUUUUAACAAAUAAAAUAUAUAAACUUAAACUAAA